This 254-nucleotide ribosomal RNA is filed under the name uncultured bacterium. RNAcentral describes it as "partial 16S ribosomal RNA". It matches the Rfam family "Bacterial small subunit ribosomal RNA", at positions 524 to 776 of the family's 1533-position model. The record is from RNAcentral.
UACGAAGGUCCCAAGCGUUAUCCGGAUUUAUUGGGUUUAAAGGGUGCGUAGGCGGACUAUUAAGUCAGUGGUGAAAGCCCCAGGCCUAACCUGGGGAACUGCGCCGGAAACCGACAGACUCGAGUACCGGAGAGGAGGGUGGAAUUCCUGGUGUAGCGGUGAAAUGCGUAGAUAUCAGGAGGAACACCGGUGGCGAAGGCGGCCCUCUGGACGGAUACUGACGCUGAGGCGCGAAAGCGUGGGGAUCAAACAGG